AGGACGAACGCUGGCGGCGUGCUUAACACAUGCAAGUCGAGCGGAAAGGCCCUUCGGGGUACUCGAGCGGCGAACGGGUGAGUAACACGUGAGUAACCUGCCCUUGGCUCUGGGAUAGCUCCGGGAAACCGGAAUUAAUACCGGAUAUGACUUCGGCCGACAUCGGCUGCGGUGGAAAGAUUUAUCGGCCAGGGAUGGGCUCGCGGCCUAUCAGCUUGUUGGUGGGGUAACGGCCUACCAAGGCGACGACGGGUAGCCGGCCUGAGAGGGCGACCGGCCACACUGGGACUGAGACACGGCCCAGACUCCUACGGGAGGCAGCAGUGGGGAAUAUUGCACAAUGGGCGAAAGCCUGAUGCAGCGACGCCGCGUGAGGGAUGACGGCCUUCGGUUGUAAACCUCUUUCAGCAGGGAAGAAGCGCAAGUGACGGUACCUGCGAGAAGAAGCACCGGCUAACUACGCGCCAGCAGCCGC
RNAcentral lists this ribosomal RNA (475 nucleotides) under uncultured bacterium. RNAcentral describes it as "SSU rRNA". It matches the Rfam family "Bacterial small subunit ribosomal RNA", at positions 26 to 518 of the family's 1533-position model. The record is from RNAcentral.